This 253-nucleotide ribosomal RNA is filed under the name uncultured bacterium. RNAcentral's name for it is "partial 16S ribosomal RNA". It matches the Rfam family "Bacterial small subunit ribosomal RNA", at positions 524 to 776 of the family's 1533-position model. The record is from RNAcentral.
UACGUAGGGGGCAAGCGUUGUCCGGAAUCAUUGGGCGUAAAGAGCGUGUAGGCGGCUUGGUAAGUCCGCUGUGAAAGUCCAGGGCUCAACCCUGGAAAGCCGGUGGAAACUGUCAAGCUUGAGUCCGGAAGAGGCGAGUGGAAUUCCUGGUGUAGUGGUGAAAUGCGUAGAUAUCGGGAGGAACACCAGUGGCGAAGGCGACUACCUGGCCUGUUCUUGACGCUGAGGCGCGAAAGCUAGGGGAGCAAACGGG